CAGUAGCCACGGUAAUACGAAGGGUGCAAGCGUUAAUCGGAAUUACUGGGCGUAAAGCGUGCGCAGGCGGUUUUGUAAGACAGGCGUGAAAUCCCCGGGCUCAACCUGGGAAUGGCGCUUGUGACUGCAAAGCUAGAGUGCGGCAGAGGGGGAUGGAAUUCCGCGUGUAGCAGUGAAAUGCGUAGAUAUGCGGAGGAACACCGAUGGCGAAGGCAAUCCCCUGGGCCUGCACUGACGCUCAUGCACGAAAGCGUGGGGAGCAAACAGGAUUAGAUACCCCGGUAGUCCCUGUCUCUUAUAA
This 301-nucleotide ribosomal RNA is filed under the name uncultured bacterium. RNAcentral describes it as "partial 16S ribosomal RNA". It matches the Rfam family "Bacterial small subunit ribosomal RNA", at positions 509 to 809 of the family's 1533-position model. The record is from RNAcentral.